RNAcentral lists this ribosomal RNA (253 nucleotides) under uncultured bacterium. RNAcentral describes it as "partial 16S ribosomal RNA". It matches the Rfam family "Bacterial small subunit ribosomal RNA", at positions 524 to 776 of the family's 1533-position model. The record is from RNAcentral.
UACGUAGGGUGCAGGCGUUAAUCGGAAUUACUGGGCGUAAAGCGUGCGCAGGCGGUUUGCUAAGACAGGUGUGAAAUCCCCGGGCUUAACCUGGGAACUGCGCUUGUAACUGGCGAGCUUGAGUGUGGCAGAGGGGGGUGGAAUUCCACGUGUAGCAGUGAAAUGCGUAGAGAUGUGGAGGAACACCGAUGGCGAAGGCAGCCCCCUGGGCUAACACUGACGCUCAUGCACGAAAGCGUGGGGAGCAAACAGG